RNAcentral lists this ribosomal RNA (253 nucleotides) under uncultured prokaryote. RNAcentral's name for it is "partial 16S ribosomal RNA". It matches the Rfam family "Bacterial small subunit ribosomal RNA", at positions 524 to 776 of the family's 1533-position model. The record is from RNAcentral.
UACGGAGGGUGCGAGCGUUAUCCGGAUUCACUGGGUUUAAAGGGUGUGUGGGCGGGCAGAUAAGUCAGUGGUGAAAUCCCCGAGCUUAACUUGGGAACUGCCAUUGAUACUAUUUGUCUUGAAUGUCGUGGAGGUUAGCGGAAUAUGUCAUGUAGCGGUGAAAUGCUUAGAUAUGACAUAGAACACCCAUUGCGAAGGCAGCUAACUACGCGAAUAUUGACGCUGAGGCACGAAAGCGUGGGGAUCAAACAGG